GACGAACGCUGGCGGCGUGCUUAACACAUGCAAGUCGAACGAUGAAGCUGGAGCUUGCUCCGGUGGAUUAGUGGCGAACGGGUGAGUAACACGUGAGAAAUCUGCCCUUGACUCUGGGAUAACUGCGGGAAACUGUAGCUAAUACCGGAUAUUUUCCUUGGUGGGCAUCCACUGGGGAAGAAAGAAUUUCGGUCAAGGAUGAUCUCGCGGCCUAUCAGCUAGUUGGUGAGGUAAUGGCUCACCAAGGCGACGACGGGUAGCCGGCCUGAGAGGGUGACCGGCCACACUGGGACUGAGACACGGCCCAGACUCCUACGGGAGGCAGCAGUGGGGAAUAUUGCACAAUGGGCGCAAGCCUGAUGCAGCAACGCCGCGUGAGGGAUGAAGGCCUUCGGGUUGUAAACCUCUUUUAGCAGGGAAGAAGCGAAAGUGACGGUACCUGCAGAAAAAGCACCGGCUAACUACGUGCCAGCCGCCGCCGUAA
Molecule: ribosomal RNA, 484 nt
Filed under: uncultured bacterium
Lineage: Bacteria
Description: partial 16S ribosomal RNA
Rfam family: Bacterial small subunit ribosomal RNA
Source: RNAcentral